CGUAGGUGGCAAGCGUUAUCCGGGAAUUAUUGGGCGUAAAGCGCGCGUAGGCGGUUUCUUAAGUCUGAUGUGAAAGCCCACGGCUCAACCGUGGAGGGUCAUUGGAAACUGGGAAACUUGAGUACAGAAGAGGAAAGUGGAAUUCCAUGUGUAGCGGUGAAAUGCGCAGAGAUAUGGAGGAACACCAGUGGCGAAGGCGACUUUCUGGUCUGUAACUGACGCUGAUGUGCGAAAGCGUGGGAUCAAACAGGAUU
This 254-nucleotide ribosomal RNA is filed under the name uncultured bacterium. Its description in RNAcentral is "partial 16S ribosomal RNA". It matches the Rfam family "Bacterial small subunit ribosomal RNA", at positions 526 to 779 of the family's 1533-position model. The record is from RNAcentral.